UCCGGUUUGCUUCAUUCAGAGUAACCCACUGAGAGUAAGUCAGAGGGUUUGUCAUCUUCUAACUCAAAUUUAGAAGCUGGUUUUAAGUUAUCAAUGCUGACAAUUCUGUCUUUUCCUUGUUUGUCUUCUAUAAUCAAAGUCCUUAGGUUAAUGACAUGUUUUACCUUUGUAGGUUUCCACCUUGGCCAUAAAGGUUUUGCUGCUUGAACUCUUUCCUGGACAAACUGACCAACCUGUGGUGUCCAAGCUCAUAAAAGAUUUUAUCUCCCUUGAGACUGCAGCAUGCAGAGGUGCAAUUAACACAAUGAAAUCAGAAGAGGUACCUUGCAUUCAAUCUUCAGUGUGUGGCUGGAGGCAGCAUGAAGAGGAGCUCCGUGUUGAUGCCUUAAAGAGGAGUACCGACAUCGCCAAUGACAUCGCCGAAGACUUCCCGCCACCACCGGGAUGAAGAUACAAGAUGGACAGCCGCCAGAAUAAAGAUUGAAGAAGAUGGUCCGGCAAUGGAUGAAGAUGGAUUGCCGCAGGGAUGAAGAUGGUGCGCCGCUUUUCAUCAAUCAACCUCUUGUCACGAGGAUGCAAACAUCCAUGCCACCACCACCACCACCACUACCACCAGUCUUCAGGCAACCGCAAGAACAGUAAGCUCCCAGGCAUGAGCAUGGUUGGAUGGCUUCAGUUUAGGACCCAGGAGCGAUGCCACCGCCAUUGACAUAUGACCCCUGGCAAGAUUCCUGGCCAGAGGAAUAUCCUUCCUUUGGAUUUGAGGGGGAGCCAAGACAGCCACAAAGGGUCCAUGUAUUUACCCCUCACAACACAAUCUCAUGUCAGUCAUGGAUUUUACCCACAGACUGUCACAAGAAGUGCCAAUUGGAGAGGAUGAGUGGUCACACACUGGUCAUCAGUGGGACUAUCAACCAACCAUGAGAGUUCCCCCAUCCUCAUCCACGGGACGACUUCCCCAUCCUCAUCCAUGGGACGACCUCCCCCAUCCUCAUCCAUGGGACGAGCUCCACCAUCUGC
This is a long non-coding RNA of Bombina bombina (fire-bellied toad), 1020 nucleotides long. RefSeq lists it as uncharacterized. The transcript is spliced from 4 exons. Lineage: Eukaryota; Metazoa; Chordata; Amphibia; Anura; Bombinatoridae. The record is from RefSeq and is a predicted model, not a curated record.